ACGAACGCUGGCGGCGUGCUUAACACAUGCAAGUCGAACGGAAAGGCCCUGCUUGCAGGGUACUCGAGUGGCGAACGGGUGAGUAACACGUGGGUGAUCUGCCCUGCACUUCGGGAUAAGCUUGGGAAACUGGGUCUAAUACCGGAUAGGAGCCAUCUUUAGUGUGGUGGUUGGAAAGUUUUUUCGGUGUAGGAUGAGCUCGCGGCCUAUCAGCUUGUUGGUGGGGUAAUGGCCUACCAAGGCGGCGACGGGUAGCCGGCCUGAGAGGGUGUACGGCCACAUUGGGACUGAGAUACGGCCCAGACUCCUACGGGAGGCAGCAGUGGGGAAUAUUGCACAAUGGGCGCAAGCCUGAUGCAGCGACGCCGCGUGGGGGAUGAAGGCCUUCGGGUUGUAAACUCCUUUCGCUAGGGACGAAGCUUUUUGUGACGGUACCUAGAUAAGAAGCACCGGCUAACUACGUG
RNAcentral lists this ribosomal RNA (464 nucleotides) under uncultured bacterium. Its description in RNAcentral is "partial 16S ribosomal RNA". It matches the Rfam family "Bacterial small subunit ribosomal RNA", at positions 29 to 507 of the family's 1533-position model. The record is from RNAcentral.